RNAcentral lists this ribosomal RNA (732 nucleotides) under uncultured Leptotrichia sp. RNAcentral's name for it is "bacterial SSU rRNA". It matches the Rfam family "Bacterial small subunit ribosomal RNA", at positions 28 to 776 of the family's 1533-position model. Lineage: Bacteria; Fusobacteriati; Fusobacteriota; Fusobacteriia; Fusobacteriales; Leptotrichiaceae. The record is from RNAcentral.
GAUGAACGCUGACAGAAUGCUUAACACAUGCAAGUCUUUGGCAAAUCUGUGCUUGCACAGCCUAGCCAAGGCGGACGGGUGAGUAACGCGUAAAGAACUUGCCCUGCAGAUAGGGAUAACAGACGGAAACGACUGAUAACACCUGAUACAAUUGCCGGCACGCAUGUGCCUGGCAAUGAAAAGAGAUGCUGCAGGAGAGCUUUGCGUCCUAUUAGCUUGUUGGUGAGGUAACGGCUCACCAAGGCGAUGAUAGGUAGCCGGCCUGAGAGGGUGAACGGCCACAAGGGGACUGAGAUACGGCCCUUACUCCUACGGGAGGCAGCAGUGGGGAAUAUUGGACAAUGGGGGCAACCCUGAUCCAGCAAUUCUGUGUGCACGAAGAGGGUUUUCGGAUUGUAAAGUGCUUUCAGCAGGGAAGAAGAAAGUGACGGUACCUGCAGAAGAAGCGACGGCUAAAUACGUGCCAGCAGCCGCGGUAAUACGUAUGUCGCAAGCGUUAUCCGGAAUUAUUGGGCAUAAAGGGCAUCUAGGCGGCCAGACAAGUCUGGGGUGAAAACUUGCGGCUCAACCGCAAGCCUGCCCUGGAAACUGUUUGGCUAGAGUGCUGGAGAGGUGGACGGAACUGCACGAGUAGAGGUGAAAUUCGUAGAUAUGUGCAGGAAUGCCGAUGAUGAAGAUAGUUCACUGGACGGCAACUGACGCUGAAGUGCGAAAGCUAGGGGAGCGAACAGG